RNAcentral lists this long non-coding RNA (330 nucleotides) under Mus spicilegus (steppe mouse). Its description in RNAcentral is "lncRNA (ENSMSIG00000006336.1)". The record is from RNAcentral. Lineage: Eukaryota; Metazoa; Chordata; Mammalia; Rodentia; Muridae.
GCGAGGGCUGGCGGCGGAGCAGCGUGUUUGCGCAGUGUUGGGCUUCCUUUCUACAAACACGCCACACACUGUGAGGGGGUGGCUGGCGGCCACCUGGGCUAGUAGAUGGUGAGAAUGAGAUAAAGCAUGUGGUUCCUGACUGACAGCAAGGAGGGACACAGAAAUAGCGAGGACAUGUCCAGCAUCUCUGCCAGCUAGCACCAGGCCAAGAACACCAAACAGAAACCUCCAGCUAAGCUACCCGCAGCCACAAGUUGAUACAGAAUUCACUGCUGCAGGAAGAACUGGAGGCCAGGAGGCACCCAGGUGAGGUUGUGGUUCCGGGAUUCA